This 243-nucleotide ribosomal RNA is filed under the name uncultured bacterium. RNAcentral's name for it is "partial 16S ribosomal RNA". It matches the Rfam family "Bacterial small subunit ribosomal RNA", at positions 86 to 334 of the family's 1533-position model. The record is from RNAcentral.
CCCAGUCGAGCGGCGAACGGGUGAGUAACGCGUGGAUUAUCUGCCCUGAGGUGGGGGAUAACCCGGGGAAACUCGGGCUAAUACCGCAUAGGACCGUGAGGUCAAAGGGGGCCGCAAGGCUCUCGCCAUAGGAGGAGUCCGCGUUCGAUUAGCUAGUUGGUAGGGUAAGUGGCCUACCAAGGCGACGAUCGAUAGCCGGCCUGAGAGGGUGAUCGGCCACACUGGAACUGAGACACGGUCCAG